Molecule: long non-coding RNA, 11440 nt
Organism: Globicephala melas (long-finned pilot whale)
Lineage: Eukaryota; Metazoa; Chordata; Mammalia; Artiodactyla; Delphinidae
Source: RefSeq, a predicted model, not a curated record
UCCGUGAGCCGGGGCCUUCCCCGCGCAGCGAGUGCGCUGACCGAUUGGGAUGAAACCCCGCAGGCUGGUCGCAGCCUCAGCGGGGGAAUUUUAAUACAUUUCUCUCGUUAAUUUGAAACGGGAACGCAAAUAACUGUAAAAUGUAGUCAUCAUACCGAGUCUCUCGCUCAUUUCGUUUAAUAAUGGAUGGAGGGGGGCAGUACCAAUGCAUAAUUUGGGCACUCAGUACCAAAACAUUUAGGAAUCACUACUUGUAAAGAAUGAGAUGGGAAAUUAUUUCUUUCCUAGACUUCUAGAAUAGGCUAUUGUGCUAAAGAGGUAAAGAAAUGGUAUUAUAAAGCUUCUUUUAAAAGAAGGCAAUUUCCAUGAAGCGACUGGGAUGCCUAUGAGCUGGCCAGUGAACCUCAGUUUGCCGUAGUUGUUGACUUGGAGGCUAGAAGGGGCAGACAUUUACUGUGCAUUUACCAGUGCCAGAUCCUGUGUUAGCCAUUUUACUGCAUAAUGUCUUUAAUUUUUACAAUGACCCUGUGAGGUACGUCUUAUCUCUCUUUUUUUUUAGCAGAUGAAAUCACUUAGGCCAGAGAGAUGCAGUGACUAAUUCAAGGUCACACAGUGUUGAGGAUGGAAUCCAGACCUGAUACAGUUAUUGAUAUGUGAGUGAAUUCCACACCACCCAUUUUACAGAUGAAGCCACUGAGAUACAGAGCAACUGACUAAAUAGUCACCACCCCGCUCCUGGAUCCUCACAUGACACUUCUCCCAGAGCCGCCCAGUAUGUGACGGUGUGAGGCAUGAGGCGCAGCAGGCUGUGAUACAGACUGAUGGUGAUCUCAACUUCUGUGACAGCUUCAGUUACCAUCUAUACGUGGAUGACGACCAAAUCUCUCUCCAGACCAGAAUAUCCAACUGUUCACAUGGACAGCUCCACUGGGAUGUUUUGAAGACUCAGCAAAAUGCAGCCUUCUGCUCUUCCCCUCUUGCUCUUCCUCCAGUGUCCUGUCACGUGGUGAAACAUUGUCUUGUCACUGUAUAACAUGGUAGUUGAGAAUGUGACUCUGGAGCUAGCCUGAUGGGACCUGAAUUCUGACUCAGCCACUUACUAUGUGACCUUGGAUCACUGAGAGAGAAGUCAAGAUGCAGGCCCACUUUGCUUCCUGUAUUAACAUGGGCCUUGUUGAGACCAUUCAGUGAGGUCUUCAUUGCAGUGUAACUCACACUAUCAAAACACCACUGGUAACUCCGGUGUACUGUUUAAGAGGCCCUGUCAUAUCAUCCAAAUAAAACCUGUUGAUGUGUUCCAAGGAAUAAGCCAUGAUGGCGGCAGAGGUAAGAAGUGGAUUUAUUUAGAGAGAAACACACUCCACAGACAGAGUGUGGGUCAUCUCAGAAGGCAAGACUGGCCUUGGGAGAAACACACUCCACAGGCAGAGUAUGGGCCAUCUUAGAAGAGAAUUCAUAAUUGGCAGCAUUGUGAUGGCUUCUUCCUAGUUUCUUCUGUGCAUGUCUCAAGGGUUUCCACAUCUGCAGACGGAAGAGCUUAAUCCUCCAUCAGUAUCCUCCGACAGCACAUUCAGUUGGGGGCAGUGUCUUAUCUUCCGACGUCCGUUCACCCUCAUGCUUCACACAUACUCUGCCACUGAUGGUUUCUUAGACUCUGGCUUUCUUCAGGCCCUUGAUAUCAACCAGUUACCCUUUGGUAAGAGAUUAAGCCAUUCCACUACUCUCCCAGAGGCAUUUGCAUUUAGAACUACAGGUAUAAUAGAAAUAAUGGAAGAUGUUGCAUUCCUGAGGGAAGGCGAUCCUGGAAUGAAUUAUUCAUUUGCUCAUUCUAGAACGUCCCAUCCUUCUGCCCUGCCACCCCCUCUCUCUAUUCCUGCUCGUGCCUUGGUAAACCCUACUUCCUCCAAGAAGACUUCCCCGACUCCUGUCCCUUCCAGGUGAGGCCAGUUUUAGGGCUCUGAACAGAUUCCAUUUGGCUUCCCAGUUGAGGGUGGAGGUGGCAGGGAUGGAUCUCAGGAAGAUGUAGCUGCAGGAUGGAUGUGCAUUAGGUCUCUGCAUUUCAAACUUCCAGUGAAAAAUAUAUCUUAUGUCCCAACUACCGCACACACCUACAUACAGAUAUAUAAAACUGAAACAAAAAUUUUGUAAAAAUAACACUCACUACGUGUGAUGCAUUUGGAUAUUUUCUGUUCUAUUUAUUUUUUAAAGGAAAAUGCUGGUUAUAACCCAUUGAACUGAUUUCACAGCCCAGUAAUGGGUCACAACCCACAGGGUGAAAAAUGCAGAGUGAGAUCAUUACUGCUCAGAACAACUCUGAACACAGCCAAGGGGCCCUGUGCCGAUGUUGCCCUUUGGGUGCCUCGACGAGCUUGCAGAUGAUGGCACUGGCAGCGGUGUGGUCCACCUGGUGGUGCUCUGCUUUCUCCGUGGAGUCUCCUUUCAGGGCCCCAGUUGGUUGUGCCAUGAAGUGGCCACAGAUGCUUUCUCCGUGCUGUGGAAGGAGGUUGAAGUCUAUAAAGCACUCCAUACACCCCUCAGAAAGAUGCUGGCUCAGUGUGAAGUGUCACAAGGCUGUAUACCUCAUCCCAUUUGAUGAGGCUCCUCAUGGAGACAAAGCUUCCAGGCCCCGUGGGGCUCACUGGUGCUGCUCACCUGGGAGGGCUAAUGGAUAACAAAUAGAAUAAAAGCAAAACAGGGAGCUCUUGCCUGCAGCGUAACAGUGACAGAAACAUCUUCCUGGUUAGAGGAUGGAUGAUAAAUAUACGUAAGGAACAUUCCAGGGGGCAGUGAGUCUUGAGCCCCAUCUCCCUUUGGAACUGGAAGUUACUGAAAACCGAACCCACAGAAAUAGCUACCUCAAAACCCCUGCAUUUAUCCCUCUGAGAUCCUCAAAGCCUGUUGACAUUUACUUAGUACACUUUUCUAAGAAAAGUGGCUAUCUGGUGUCUCAACCCACUGCAGAAGAAAAUUGCCUGGAAGGGUGGUAGUAGGUCUUUUCCAGAGAGAGACAUGUAGAUAACAGGAAAGUAAAAGCCAUGGGGAAGGAUAGAGAAACAGUAAGAAGGGGACACAAUCAUGUUAUUAUCUAGUUCCUUAGGGAAUGUUCCUAAUGACCACUUAUGUGGGGAAAGGACAUUUUUUAAAGCAUUAGAGAGCAGUGGACCACAUUUUAGCAAGAUUUCACUUUAAAGUGGUUGGGCAUUGAAGUUUCACUUUUCAGAAAAAGUGUUCAUGAGAACCUCAGUGAUUCUGCAUAAAUUAGGUGCUGUUGAACUGCCCCUGAUUAGGACUAGUCAUGGGUUUGAGGCAUGCUGUAAUCUCAGGUUCACGGGCAAGUCCUCCCCACCCAGCCCUAGUCAGCCUCAUAGCCUGAAACCCCUCCAUUACUGUUACUGUUGGGUUCCGUUGUUCACCUGUGUGAAUUUGUGAAUAAAUUCUUUCCAAUCUGAAAGCUUCUUGAUAGUGGCUUCCGGAUAUUCUGAAGGUAGAUGUAGAGAGAGAACUCUGAUCUGGACCCCACCUGAGGAUGGGGUGGCCUAAAUGACCAGAGAGCAGGACAAAACCACUGGGAUUUGGACUGUGGUGAGCUUUUAGGGAGGAGUGGGGGGCAGGCUUGGAAGCCAAGUUCCACCCUUUUCACUGCUUUCACUACUUGAGGACAGCCCACUCACUGAGACGGAGCCAGGCCUCUGUUUCUUCCAUAGCCUGUCCCCUCGUGGCUCACUGGCCACCUGAUCCCCAGAUCUGCUUCUGUGAGUUACCCUGAGUGACUGCAGGGGUGCUCCAAUAAGUAAGGGGACCUCAAAGAAAAGCCAGCUGUUUCUGAGACAAAGAUCAUUUAUUCCAUAUCGUCUGAGAAAGCAACCUUUAAGUAGAAGGCAGUGGGGUUGGUGGUGUGCCACACCACCAGGAGGUUUCUGUCUUAACAGUAGAUUGCUACAUAGUGUGCGUGCAUAAUACAUUACAAUUCUAGUACUGAUAUUUCCAAAUGCCCUGUGACUACAAAACGAUGAAAUUUCUCCCCGGGGGAGAAUGACAACAAUAAACUAAAGUAACAAUACCAAAAGUCUCUGAAAAGAUCUCAGGGGUUUGCGGGACUCCGGUGGUGGCGCAGUGGUUAAGAAUCCGCCUGCCAGUGCAGGAGACAUGGUUUGGGCCCUGGUCUGGGAAGAUCCCACAUUCCACGGAGCAAGUAGGCUCGUGUGCCACAACUACUGAGCCUGUGCUCUAUAGCCCAUGAGCCACAACUACUGAGCCUGUGCGCCUAGAGCCCGUGCUCCUCAAGAAGAGAAGCCACCGCAAUGAGAAGCCAGUGCACCGCAACGAAGAGUAGCCCCCGCUUGCCACAGCUAGAGAAAACCCGUGCGCAGCAACGAAGACCCGAUGCAUCCAAAAAUAAAAAUAAGUUAAUUAAAAAAAAAAGAUUUCAGGGGCUUUGGCCAGAAAUGAAUUGGGGCUUGGUGUGGUGGUUCUGAGAAGCUGCCUAAUGGAAUUCUUUUUUUUUUUGGUAGGAAUAUAAUGUGAAGGGUAGAGAAAAACCACUCGAGCUUAAGCACUCUAACUAGUGGAAAUUAGAUUCUGAUGAUGAAAUCAGAAAUGAUUUUAACAGGGAGAAGAAAGGGCAUCAGCAAAAGAAGACCAACGAGCUUAGAUUUUCAAUGAACCUACUGUUUUCUCACAUGUACACGGGCUACCUGGUGUGUGAUACACCCAUGUCAGAACGUCCAGAAGGAGCAAAGUCCAGAAUUAGAAAAGAUUGUAAAGGAAUCCCAACCAGCACAAAGGUUGCUUGUCUGCUUCCUUAUUGAAGUCAAGAGGAGGAACAAGGCAGACAGGCCUUCUGCUGGGGGGAAGCACAGACUAUUCAUGUCAGAGAGAAAAAAAGGGGGCCCAAUUCCCAUUUGCUUCCAACUCUGCCUCCCUUGAGAAUAGCCCCCAAACUGAGGAGAAAAAGUAACAUCAUAUGGAAUGAAAUGAGGCUCCCGACAGUAGAGGAGAUGUUAGUGGAACCCUCUUCCCGGGGGCAAAGACCGCUGUCACAUUUCCCAUCUAGGCUGACUCACGUCCCUGAAUCAGUGCUUCCAGGGAGAGGCGGCCUAACUAGAGACAGAUCCAUUUAUUAGUCCUAGAUUUCAACAUAGAUAAGGAAACUGAAACCUGUCCUUUUCAGCAAUUUUUAACAUUUAAAUCAAUAAAGACCCACUAGGUAGGCUUCUCUAAGCUAAAGAUGACGUAGCUCUGGGAGGGACAAGUAAAUGGCUUUGGGGUGACAAAGUCAGGAUUUGAAAGUCUUAUCAGGGUGGAAAAAGAGGAAAUUUUAUAAGGGAAAAUUUAAUAUAUUUGGGUUCAACAAAUUUAAUCAUCCAAGUGCGUAAUGGGGGUGCCUGAGAUGGGCUUGUGGAGGGGCCUGAGGGGCUGGUUUUCCACAGGCUCCUUGUGGACCAGGAGUGUGGGGCUCAAGAGAGCCCAGGCACACACCGGAGGUGCCAACCCAGAACAAAGGAGGGGGUGCAGCCCAUUUCCACUCCCUGCUCCUUAGGACACGUGGAUGUCCAGUGUGGAGUGCAGGCUUCUGGAGACUAACAAAGAAGGAAACAUUCAGGGCAGGCCAUCAGGUUGGAGAGGGUCUGGGGACAGAGCAGUGGGUGAUGUGGCAAGGAACAUCAGCUUUGGGAAGAGAGGUGAGUCCAAAUACCCGAAGAGUCUCCUGAGAGUGAAAGGGGAAAAUUCUGUAUGUCCAGAGGGCGGCCCAAGUUAGAGGGAAGUAGGCCUAGGUUCUGCUUGAGGAAGACGCACUGUGUCUUCCCUGUCAAUGGAGGGUUUGUAUGGCCUUUGGAUGGCCUCCCUGCCAGGGACAUCUCAGAGGGGAUGCCUAGCGAGGUGGCAUGAGGAUUCUAAAGUUCCUUCCCAAGAUGCUCCCUCUGCCAUGGACGAGGAGUCCGCAGAGAGCACCUUUGCCCAGGCACUUUGGAGUAAGUAGCUGUACAAGGGCAAACUGAGGCUCCGGGUCCAAGUCCUGCUUUGGUCGCUUUGUGUGUUACCUUUGACUAGUUAUUCUCUGCAUCUUGGUCCCUUCAUUAAAAAUAUGGAUCAUGGCAAUAGUACACUCCUACCAGGACUUCUGUGAAGUUUAAUUGAGUUAAAGAGAGGCAUUUAGAACUAUUCCACAGCCUUGGUAAGGGCUGUGUACCAGAUGGCUUCAGUGAUGGUCAUCCACUCAUUGUCACCACCACCGCCACCUCCGCUGAUUCAUCACACAGUGCUGGAGGAGUAGAGAUGAGCAGGUUGGCUCCCUGCCUUCAACAAGUCAAAGGCCAGUGUGGAAGGUGGAGGAGUGUCGCAUGUGGGGAUGGGGUUUGGGGGAGCCCAGGGCACGGCCACUGGCGGAAGGCUUGUGGGGCGGGGUGGCAGUCCAAGGCCUCCUUCCUCUGAGACCAGCUCCUGAAACCAUGGCUUGGCUCCACAGCAUUUCCAGGCAUCCCAGGGCUGCUGUCUCGUCAGUCCAGUGCUCUCCCUGGCUGUUUGCUCUGGGGGUGGCUAUGCACGAGGUGCCCCUUCUGCACCCCACCAAGUGCUAGGACUGGCCAGGCUGGCUUGGCAGGUCCAAGGGUAUAGGAGUGCCACAGGGCCCCCCGGCACAGCUGGGGCCCGCAGACCCUAUUCCUGAGCUGUAGGGCCCCAAACGCUAAAGCUCUCUGAGUGCCUCCUCUGUGCCUGGCACUGUGCUGGGUGUCCUCCUGCAGAGUCAUGGCACGUCAUAUGCCGGGAGACAGGUGGUAUCAGUCAUCCCCAUUUUACAGCUAAGUAAACAGGCUGCGACAUUAAGUGUCUUGUAAAGGGCAGGGCCAGGACUUGGACCGAAGAUUUCCAAGGCCAAAAUUGGGUGCCAUUUCCAUACCCCACCAGAGGUGACUCAGCCGAGAGCCCAGCCCUCGGGAGGAGUUGGAGCCAGAGGUCUGAUAGCUGACUGCUCCAGCCCCGGGGAAGGGCCAGAAGGGCUCUGAGAGCCCUACCCUUCCAGGCCUGUCUCCUGCUCCCCGAAUCCCUGCCUCCUCAUGAGAUCCCCCUCACGAAGCCAGCGCCCGCCUGGGAAGUGCUCAGGGGACCCCGUCUUGCAAAGUGGUCCCUGCCUGCUCACUCUUCAUGCAAACAUCUCUCAACCAGUGGUCAUUUUGAAAAAGGAAGGCAGUGGUUUAGGGAAAAAACAUGUUUUUAAGUAGUGGUGGCCUUUUUUUUCCCCUAAAGACUUUUUUUUUGAAGAACAGUUUCAGGUUCACAACAAAAUUAAGAGGAAGGGUUCCCAUGUAUCCCCCACCUCCACACACACACAGCCUCCCCCAGCUUCAGCACCCCCCGCUGGGUCCAUGUGUUUGUUACAACUGAUGAAUCUAUGUGGUGGCCUUUUCCCAGAGUUUUAUCUGAACUUGCUUGAAAUUGAAAACACAUAUUCUGUGUGAAGAGAAUGUGUGGGAACCUGUGCCCGCCCUCCUGCCUCUUGACCCCCUUCUACCACCCCACCCAGAUUCUGCAGAACCCGGAUGUAGUUUACUCUGCAGAACCCGGAUGUAGUUUUACUCUGAGUUUACUCCCCUGCUCUGAGGUGGGGAGAGUUAGCGCUACUCUUUGUUAAGGAGCUCUUCCCCAGAUUGUGCCUCUAGAACCUAAGUUCCAUGUGGCAGGUUUUUAAAAAAAUUAUGCAAAAGAUACACAACACAAAAUUGACCAUUUUAACCAUUUUUGAGUGUACAAUUCAGUGGCAUUAAGUACAUUCAUAUUGUUCUGCAACCAUCACCACCAUCCGUUUCCAGAACUUUUGUUGUUGUUGUUUUUUUAACAUCUUUAUUGGAGUAUAAUUGCUUUACAAUGGUGUGCCAGUUUCUGCUUUAUAACAAAGUGAAUCAGCUAUACAUAUACAUAUGUUCCCAUAUCUCUUCCCUCUUGCAUCUCCCUCCCUCCCACCCUCCCUAUCCCACCCCUCUAGGUGGACACAAAACACCGAGCUGAUCUCCCUGUGCUAUGUGGCUGCUUCCCACUAGCUAUCUAUUUUACGUUCGGUAGUGUAUAUAUGUCCAUGCCACUCUCUCACUUCAUCCCAGCUUACCCUUCCCCCUCCCCGUGUCCUCAAGUCCAUUCUCUACGUCUGCAUCUUUAUUCCUGUCCUGCCCCUAGGUUCUUCAGAACCAUUUUUUUCCAGAAAUUUUUUAUUAUCCCAAACUGAAUCUCUCUACCCAUUAAACAAUAACUCCCUCUCUUCUCUUCCCCCAGAUUCUGGUAACCACCAUCCUACUCUGUCUCUAUGAAUUUGUCUAUUCUAGGUAGACCUAUUCUGGGUCUGUUCUCAUAAGUGGAAUCAUACAAUAUUUGUCUUUUUGUGUCUGGCUUAUUUCACUUAGCAUAUUGUCUUCAAGGUUCAUCCAUGUGGUAGCAUGUGUCAGAAUUUCCUUCCUUUUUAAGGUUGAGUGAUAUUCCAUUGUAGGUAUAUGCCAUGUAAUUCUAUGUUUAAUUUUUUGAGGAACCGUCAUACCAUUUUCCACAAAGGAUGCACGAUCUUAUAUUCCCACCAGCAAUGUACAAGGGUUCCAGUUUCCCUAUGUUCUUGCCAUCGUGGCAGGGGGUUUUUGUUUGUUUUGUUUGUUUGUUUUGUUUUUUCUGGCUGCACCGCCCGGGAUGUGGGAUCUUAGUUCCCCAAACAAGGAUUGAACCCGUGCCCCCUGCAUUCGGAGUGCAGAGUCUUAACCACUGGACUGCCAGGGAAGUUCCAGGGCUUUUUAAUCUCUUGUUCAUGGGACAGACACUAGAACAGUGCCCAGCACAUAGUAGGUACUCAAUAAAUAUUUGUUGGGUCAGAUGAAUCGGCGGCUUUGGUCUCUAGGCAGCUGUACCAGGGAGCCCUUGUACCUGUCAGCAGAACCUUCCCCUUCUAGUCCCUGCUCGGCUCUAAGAGAAUCACCCUUUUGAUGGGGUAAGUCAUCUACAGGUGCUCACUGGUGUCAAGAGAAAUGGUAGUACUGUGGAGUUCAGGGAAUCGAACAUGCUGGCUAGCAUAGGAGUGUUUUUAAACUGUGGGUCUCGACCCAUUUGUGGCUCGUGAAACCAGUUUUUAGUGGUUAAAAGCAUUUAUUAAAAAUGAAAUCGAAUAAAAAUAUUAGGGCAUACUACAUGGAAGAAAGAGUAAGUAUCAUUUACCUGUAUCAUCUGUGAAACUUGUUUUUUUGCCUAAUGUUUGUGUGCAUGUGUAAUAGAUCACCAAAAGUUUGAAAAACACUUUUGUUUAGGGUCUGCAGCCUCUGCCUGAAGAAUUCUCAUAGCAGGCAGCUUACUACCUCACAAGGAAGCCCACACCAUUUGGGGGUCUGCUGUAAUAUUGGAACAUUCCUCAAUGAUCAGAAACCUUUGCUUUGGAGCCCUGCUCUGUGCUGGGACCUGUAAUGGGCACUGUUAGCUAAACUGCCCCCACUACUACCUAUCCCGUGUGGGAAGCAGCCCAGCUCUGAGGUCCUGCCUGCAGGGCAGAGCCUUCUGCACUGUGUCUUUUGAUUGGGAUUCAUAUUAGACACACUGUUUUUCUCCAGUGAAGGCAUCUGCAUAUGGGGACAUCUGUGUCCCAUUUGACAGGCAGGCAGGCCUCCCUUGGUUCCUAGACAGAUCUAGUCUAGGAUGACUGCUUCCUUGUCUGAGGUGUCCUCUGGGCUCCCCACAUCUAAUUUACUGCAUGCCCCAUAGUCCACAUUUUAAGUCUGGCCAUCCCACACUUCCCCUCCAAGUCUGAUGAAAAAUCCACCCACCAUUAUUGUGCAAUGCUGAGGCAGAUAAGGAGAAACAAAUGUACUUAUAGAUUUAUAUUUCUUAUUUCUUCAUCACUUCUGGGGUUAUGUUACGAGCCACACCAUGCCCAGGCCUGGGUUCCGUGUUCACCUCUCCUGCAUCUCUCCUACUUGUGACACAAGUCUUGUUGCUUAAUUUUCUUCUCCUACUAGUGGAGGAGGCUCUUAUCUCUCAGAGGGCAGUAACUGUUGCAUUCAUCUUUCUGUCCUUGGAACUCGCACAUGAAGUUUGUGCUCCAUAUGUAUUUGUUGACUAGAUGGAUGUAUGAACUUUAAAAUCCUUGAGAGUAGAGACUCAGUCAUUCCCUUUCUUACUAAUUCCACAUCUCAGUCCAGCCCAGGCCUGAGCCCAUAAUAAGGCUGAUAGUUUGGCCAAUUGAUGGGAGUGCUGGAGAGUCAACAGGAAAAGUUUCCCAGGUCCAACUGGAUUUUGAUUCUCAAGGAAAUAAAGAAACCCAGAGGCUAGAUUCUCCCAAAUACCUGGAGUGCCUGUCACUGAGAGGCCAGACCCUAUCACUUGCGAACCAUGAUCCUGGGCAGUGAGAAAGUGGUAUGGUGAGGUGGGAAGAACUUGGAUAAUGAAACAAGAGAGGGACUUUAUGUGGACCAAUGGUGAUCAAGUGCCAGGAACUGAGGAGUUUGGUUAACUCAGCUCUCUGCCCCAAGGUCCAAGUCUAAAAGAGACAGAGAGGGAAGGAAGGAAGAAAGGAGAGCGAGAGAACAAGAGACUGUGCCUAGACUUGGAAGCUAGAUCAAACUGGACCUGAAUCCCCUUUCCAUCUCCUUUAAUUAUGGAACUGUAGACAUGGUAUUAAUCCGCUGAGUCCUGGUUUCUGCUUCUAUGGAAAGAGAGUUAGAUAAUACAUGUGACAGGCCCCCUCACUGUUCCUGGCACAUGGUAGAUAAUCAGUAAAUAAUGGGAAUUUUUACUACCAUUGCAUCAUGUUUGGCAUACCUUAUCAGUGUAGGUCCAGCUGAUACAAGCCAAAAGAGGUCAUUUAUUAGCAGAAUCCUAGCUCACCACCUUGAAGAAAGGGUUGACCUUGAGGCCUCAGGAAGUCCAGGAAAAUUGGACCUAGGCUCUCAGGAACAGGAAGGCUGCCUUUGGACAGAAGUAGUGCCAGCCUCCUUGUGUGAUCUCCAGACAGAGUCUCAUGGGCAGGUUUGGAUACUGUGCUGACAGUCCCACUGGGAAUUGAGGGAGAUGGAGGUCUCCCUCAGAAAAGUGAGACGCUGUAUCCAGAAGAAGGGAGGGGGAGAUGGCUAGACGGGCAGAACUGUUGACCCUGACACAUGAGUUUCCCCUCCACUCCCACCUUCUACCUGAAACCUGGUGAUCGGGUAGCCCACUGGGUAAAUUUUCAAGUAUACUUUUUCGAAACUGAAUCUUCUUUUUACUUUAUACUUGGCCCCGUCCCGUGUUCUUAGGAAGGCUACCAGAGACCUUGGGUUUCCAGCAGAACAAGAGGCUCAACUGACACGGACUGAGGACACAAGUACUGACAUUGCCGAGCGUCCUUAAGUGCCGAGUCCUCCACAGGGCUGUGGGGGGAAGGGUUUGGGGGAGGGACCCAUCGCGAGCUUUGCCAGCCCUUUCUGUUCCUCUUCUCUCCCCU